This is a long non-coding RNA of Folsomia candida, 5518 nucleotides long. RefSeq lists it as uncharacterized. The transcript is spliced from 3 exons. The record is from RefSeq and is a predicted model, not a curated record. NCBI's taxonomy places the organism in Eukaryota, Metazoa, Arthropoda, Collembola, Entomobryomorpha, Isotomidae.
ACUUUCUCCGAAAGGUCUACCGUUGAAAACGAUAGUCUGCAAAGACGUGCGCAUAUUUAGAUAAUAAACAUAUUUUGUUAAAUAUGUUAAUUGAAGUUGGCAAACUCACAGACGAAUAUACUUUGUAACCUGCUCGGGCACGUUUGAAAACUGGACUGCUUUCACGUGACCCUAUGGCAGUGUGGUAGAUACAGGGGGCACGUCUAUAAAGAAUAGUUUAAGUACAUAAAGUCAAGCCUAAAUUUUUUACAUGCUCUUACAUGUAGGCUGAGUCUGCAAAUAUAAAUCCUCGGAACUCAGGAUUUAAUUUAUUUCUUUCAAACAUUUCCUUUGGACCUCUGUCUGGUGAACCAACAGGUUGAUAUCACGAAUGGCAAUCAUAUGAACGUCAUUUGGAUCGACACUUUCUCCUUCAACGAGAGGUGGUAGUCUUCUAUUUGCAUCCCCAGCCAUCCAGGUUAUCCAGUGAGUUACGAUCGAUCCUCCAAGUCUGAGGUCGAUGUGCCUAUCGUCUUCAUCUUCUUCGAGUUGGUAUAUUUCGUCCUCAUUAAAAUCAUUAACACCUUGUUCCGUAUCAAAUUCGUCAAACUUAUACAGAGGUUUCCAGUUAGCUGUGUUAGGGACCAACUCCCACAGAUUUCUUUCUUCUCUGAUCGUUCUAUAUGCUUCAUCUGAUUGCGCAUCCGUCAAUAUAGAUUUUUUGUUAAAUUUACUAACAAUAAGUUGAUUAGCAAUACGAAUAAACAUUUUCCCCGGUGCAGGGUUAACAACGGUCUGAUGUGACGCCAUGUUUACCCACUUCAGUUGCUCAUUUAUAACCAUCUGCACACUUUCUCCGAAAGGUCUACCGUUGAAAACGAUAGUCUGCAAAGACGUGCGCAUAUUUAGAUAAUAAACAUAUUUUGUUAAAUAUGUUAAUUGAAGUUGGCAAACUCACAGACGAAUAUACUUUGUAACCUGCUCGGGCAUGUUUGAAAACUGGACUGCGUUCACGUGACCUUACGUCAGUGUGGUAGGUACAAGCUCUCGGUCUGCAACAGGUCAUACGAAGGAUAUUAAAAGUAGAAAGUAUUAUUUAAGUAUUAUUUAACUAUAUACAUCACUGCCGAGUCCACAAAUAUAAAUCCUCGGAACUCAGGAUUUAAUUUAUUUCUUUCAAACAUUUCCUUUGGACCUCUGUCUGGUGAACCAACAGGUAAUAAAUACCCAACAAUAUAAGUCAAGUGAUAAGCUCUAUUAUCAUUCGCAUUUUCUAAUGUGAUCGUAUUUCUCCUGUUUAGGUUGAUAUCACGAAUGGCAAUCAUAUGAACGUCAUUUGGAUCGACACUUUCUCCUUCAACGAGAGGUGGUAGUCUUCUAUUUGCAUCCCCAACCAUCCAGGUUAUCCAGUGAGUUAGGACUGACUCAUUCUCGCGUUGUUUCUUCCUUCGUUCUGUUUGUUGUUGAUUUUGGAUUAUCAACCUUUAAAUACAAUAAAUACGUACAUCGAAAAUUUGUAUGGUUUCAUGUUUUCUAUAUAUUUUAGCUUACUGUUCCUGCGACAAAUAAUGGGAGCGACGCAAAUGAGAUUUAAACGUGUUUAUAUUGUCUGUUUCAUCUAAGUCGUUGAAUGGGCAAAUAUAGAAAAUUCCUAAAAACAUAGCCAAAUUAAUUGAGCUAAAAGUUAACUUGUACUAAAUUUUACAUAAGACAAUUACGAUUAUCAGGUUGUCGUUUUCCAUAAACUUCAUCAAUUGUAGGGCUUCAUGUAUAACAGUAGAAUAUUUUAAUACCAAGUCUACAUAAUAGUAUCAAAUAAUACAAAAAAUUUGACCAACUAACAGUGGCCCAUGGACCCUCGAUUUAUGUUGAGCCAACGCAUCAUAUGAUAUGGAUGAGAAGUCAUGUAUUUCUCCUGUUUCUGGGAUAACACGAUCACACCACCACCGGAUAUCUUAAUAUGAUAUCCACAUUAACAUAAAAAUUGGAACAUUUGUUAAUUUAGGCUAUAUAUCUCACCAUUGUUGAUCGGAUUUCUCCUACAGUAUCUUGAGUAUCUCAAUGAAUUUCUGGGAUCGGGCGCAGCACAUGAUGCUGUGUAUGUAUAAGUGUAUUCUUCCUUGUGUGGUUGAUGUGGUGCUUGACGAGCAACUCUAUUAGUCUUUGUUUUGUUCUUAUGUACUGUCUUUAUACUUCCGACGUAAUUCUCCAAAUCUGAAAUUGCAUAUAAUCAAAAUUUAUGUGAAAUAAAAUAAUAGCCAGCUCUAAAAUGACAACUACUUUAACUCCCAUACAGCUUAAUAACUCAGUUUCGAUUUACGUAUACGAAAACGCAUAAACUAACCACAUGUGCAAAAAAAGAAUUUAGAAUUAUAUUGAUAUUAUAAACAUACAGAAUGGAAAUUUCCGCUCUCCUUCUCUUCCAAUGGGAUAUUCUUGUUGGAUCACAAACUUCUCCUUCGUUCCAUUCUUAUUAAGUUGUUGAAUAAUUAAUGGAAAUCCGAGGAUUAAUUGUAUAGCAAGGCAAACAAUCAAGACCUUAUGGAACAUUGUUGCUGUAAUAACAAAGGUUUAAGUUAUUAAAAGGAAAUAGUGUCGUGAUAAUUAUGGAGGCAAUUACAACAAAGGAACACGAAUCAAAUAUGUGAGAAAUGCUUAUCAGUCAUUUUUCAUCCCUCUGGCUUUUUUUCCUCGCCAUUUUUUUAUAUGCCAAACUAUGUGGUCAUUAAUUGUACUUGUGCUAACCAAACUUCCCGAGAUAAUGAGGUAAUGAGUCGAAUAUAAAAACAAAAGGGGGGUUAGGUGGUGUUUACUGGAAAGGUUAGAAAACCAUUAAAAUGAAACUAACAUGUUUUUAACGAUGCAUUCUUAUUUUAUUGUCACACGCAGUUGGAAAGAUAGAUCGUUAUAUGUAGUAGGUGAGGUCUAGCCUUUAAACCACAGUGGGAUCAGGAUCACCAUCACACGCUAUGAAAGGAGGACAUUGGACUAAUAAAUAAAGUUAACAAAGAGCACCAUUUUGUUUAAACUCAAUAAUCCAAUCUUUUAAUAAUAUGGAUACCUCCGUUAUCGUAUGUUAUCUCUCUAUUACCAGAAAAUAUUUUUAUUAAUUGGCUUUAUAAAACUUACAAAAUUUCGAGGUAGUUAAGCCCAAUAUGUGGCACAGUCGUCUUCUUUACGACGCAGAAUCUAUGAUUUUGAAAAUACACUGGAUUAGUUUGUGUAUAAGCGAAUUUUGAACGAUGACGUGUUUUGGGUCAGGAGGUAAUCCCGACUGGAGUAGAAGAAGCAAACGGAGGUGCUUAUGUUGCCGUUUAAGUGGGGGGUUCAAGAGAAGGUUUUAAGGCUAAUGACCUCAGCACGCACUUCUGCUAUCUGGAUAUCCAGCACAAGCAAUUCCUUUUUAGAUUAGCUCUCACUCUGUAUUUACCAAAAACAGUCAUGUCUGCUUGUUUGUAAUCCUUUAUUUAUGCGUCAGUAGUUAUCAGUUAGUACAAACUGGUUUCGUAAACAUGUCAAUCCAUACUCAGGAGGUUAUUCUAAGACAAAAAAAAAGCGCGUAGCAAGAUUGAAGAAGACGACGAGUAAAGUAUUACAUGUGGAAUAUUAUUAUACUAUACAUUCUUUUAUUGAAAGUAUGUUGGCUGCCAAAGUCAAAGAGGAGAAGAUUUUAUAUUUUGGGGCACAGCAGCUAAAAAGUGCGUAGAGUGCAUUUGGUAUAUAUGAGCAAUUUCAUCCCAACGUCUGUCGCUGUCGAAAUCCUUGGAUAAUUCCAACUAAUUCCAAAGUUCUUUCCUCCACCCGCACGUGGAGUCCCAGACUUCAUCACCCUGGUAGACGCUUACUUGGCAUUCAUUCACUCUGCUGCUGGUUCUGCUUCUUCGAGUACAUGGAGAUUCAACACAACAAUUCAUCCCUUCCAGCACCAUUCAAAUACAUUUUAUCUUGACAAUUCAUCCUGGAAUAAUAAUAUUCGAUGCAUGAAAACGAAUGUACAUGCAUACACGCGGCUCAAUCAAGCAUUUCUCAAUCCAGUUCUUUAAUGCAUGGCUUCAGCUAAAGAUAGAAAAAGUCAACUUAUCGUCCAUGGAACGAACCAAAGAAACAAAUUCCCACUUAUUGGUUCACAUAGUUAUCUAAUUGAGAAACACCGAACUUUAUCAAUAUUUUCUAACCGUAUAUAUGUAAAGAAUGAGGUAUCGUUCUAUAAAUUUAUAACAUUUUCUUUCUGGCGGAGACACAUGAUCAGCAUUUUUUAGCGAAAAAUAUUUAAAAAGACUAUUUCAUAAGCUUCCUUUUGAACCACGCCCUUCAGUGAUAAUCGUUAAAGCUUUUGCUUCUGUUGAUUUACUCGAAAUCAUUUGGAAAGAGUGGGGUACGGAGUCUAAAUGUAAUACUUGAGGUUUCCACAUGAAUAAAGCGUGUGCAUAAUACCCAAGGUAUUAAUGGCUUGAAUAUUUAAGGGACAACAAUGCGAUAUGAACAAUGAGGAAUGAUUUAUGCUUCUGUCGGACAUUUUCAUUCUAAUUGAACUACUGAAUGUGCUUAAAAAGAUAUCUAUCUACUCGAUUAUGCAAUUUUCUUGUUUGAUGUAUUUAAAAUUAUUAAAGUUAGCUCGUCAACAUAAUAAAUUGAAGUUGUUUAUGAAAUAGUAUUCCAUGUCAGCCCUUGUCAUGAAAAUAAUAUAUGAUUACAUAACUAAACCGUGCUUAACAGUCGUAAAUUGUUCAAAUUACAACAAAGUUGUAUACAUCGCGUCUAACCAUUUUUACAUUUAGCACCUCCACCAAUUACUCCAAUAUUAAUGAUGUUGUAACAGAUUUGAAAAAUUGUUUGAUAAUAUUAUAAUAAAUUGUUAAAACAUAACUUACAGAUAUACAAAUAAACAAUUUUAUUUAUUUCUUAACUUUAAUAAUGAACAAUUUUAUAAAACUUCGAAAUAACAUUAAAUGUCACAAACAAAUAUCACAAAUUUAUUUGUUUAUCAGUCUCAUCAACAACACUGGAGACAACUUAUCCAUUUAAGGAGUAGUGAAUCGUCUAGGAGCUGUUUGUUUUUGGAUGCAGUAGAAUGCAGCUGAACCCAAACCCAUCAUCUCAACUCCAGAUUAGGUGCAUGUACAAACUCGUUGUUACGAAAAACCUUAAAAUUCUUACCUACGAAGAAGAGGAUGACCUCCAAAAAACCAACUCUUCUUCCGCCAGCAUCGUCCCCUCCACCCAAUCCCUCUCCGGAAAGAAACCCCCUAGCUGCAAGGACAGCUCUUCGCCAUCUUCCGGAGACACUUCCCACCCAUGCCGACAAAAAACCUAAAAAAGAUGAGAUGAUUAAUAAAACGGUAUUUUUUAUAAAACAUAAGAAAUGUCUUACCACAAAAAAACCAGGCUAGCAGACCCCAAGCAAUCUUGUCAAUGGCGGACGACAAAACACUCAAAACAUCAUCUACAGCCUCCUUCGCGGGACCUGUGGAAGUCUCCACACCAAUCUUCUCUGUUGUAUCCUAUUUAUAAUUGUAAUAAUAAAUAUAAUAGUUGAAUA